Molecule: long non-coding RNA, 1172 nt
Organism: Lemur catta (Ring-tailed lemur)
Lineage: Eukaryota; Metazoa; Chordata; Mammalia; Primates; Lemuridae
Exons: 3
Source: RefSeq, a predicted model, not a curated record
UCUACGCACUUGGUGUCCUGGUGCCAGGCCAGCGUUUGUCCAGCCGUGGUCGCGGCCCGAGGCAUCUGGCUGCAGGUUGCAGGGCCUCAGCGGUCAGAGUGUGCACCCCUGGCAGGGCUCAGGGCUCUCAGGUUGUUUCUGGAAGGGGCCAGGAUGGGGCAUGCCUGGAGCUGCCAAGGCUGGGGCCUCUGGGAAGGUGGCUGCUUGCAUCUUAACAGGAGCCUCUGGGGCCUGGGGCUGGGGCAGGGCCAGUCCCUGGCGGUGACUGCUUUUCUCCGUGAAGGCAAAGGGCCUCUGAAGGCUCACUACGGCCGCCUCAUCUGCCAGAAGUGCUUCCAGCACAUCCAGGCCUGCACCCCCUGGCUGGAGGCCGAGGACUACCCCCUGCUGCUAGGGUUGGCGGACCUGGGCGUCUGUCUGUACAAAUCCCCAGUGGCCUGGACCUGCCCAUGAAGAUGCUUUUCUCAGUUUCCUGAUCCCGCUGGCAAACUCAGCCCGUUCCGGAAGAACCUCUGGGAGUCAGAGCAGCUUCGGUGGGAUGAGAGCUGGACGGGGACCGUGCUCCCUUUGCUUAUGGACACGUGACCCCUGGGGCCAGAGACUACAACCCAGGAUUCCCAGCCCCUUCUCCCCGCACAACCGAGUCCCAGGGCAAACUCUCCCGAGCAGCGCCUCCUGGUGGUCAGAGGCCGAAACGUGAAUAAAGCUCUAACAGCCAAGAGUUGUGUCAGGGAAGCUGUGGUCCCUCCUGGCUUCCUGGGGGCUCCAAGGCAGGUCCUCUUUUUCCCUCCUGUUCUGUGCUCCUCUCCCGAGUGUUACGUUUCUCUUACUCGCUGGGACUGUGAGCAUCUCUCCGCUCUGUGCUGUCCUCCCCAGCGCCUGCCCUUCCCUGCCCUGCCUCUGUCGUGUUCCUGCCCUGGAGACGGCACCUGCAGCGCUGUAGGUGCAGUGAGGUGUGUCGGGCCUACGCUGGGCUCGGCUUCGUGAGGAACUCAGGGUCCAGUGUCCAGUGUCCAGGCUGGGGAACGUCAUACUUGACAUGCAUGUUAUCUGCAAAAAGGAAAUGCUUGCCUUUGAGCCAAAAUUUUCAUUUCUGAUUUAUGGUGACUUUCUUAAGAACCAGAACUACUGACAGAAUGGGGCACCCCCACACAUAAACAGUUUAUAUUUUA